This is a long non-coding RNA of Acinonyx jubatus (cheetah), 777 nucleotides long. RefSeq lists it as uncharacterized. The record is from RefSeq and is a predicted model, not a curated record. The transcript has 3 exons. NCBI's taxonomy places the organism in Eukaryota, Metazoa, Chordata, Mammalia, Carnivora, Felidae.
AUGCAUUGUCUCCAACUCUUUCGCAAAGUAACGUUUUCUUUAAAAAGUAACAGCAAGUGGGAGCAUGGAAGAUGGUGGCGUAGGAGGACGCUGGGCUCAUCUUGUCCCGCUGAUCGCUUAGAUUCCACCCACAUCUGCCUAAAUAACCCAGGAAACCGCCAGAAGACUAGCAGAACGGACUCUCUGGAGCCAAGCGUAGAGGAGAGGCCCACAAAAGAGGGGUGUGGAAGAAUAUACUACAGCAGAGGGAACAUGGCUGCCAAGGCAGCAGAAGACACUGAUGAUACCAGAAAAUGCAUUGACCAUAAAAAAAAAAAAUGUGCAUAUUCUGUAACUGAGAGCCAGGAUUGCCCAGGUGAUAAAGGCUUAAUUGUUCUUCGAGCAAGAAGUAGACACAGAAGCAGUGAAGGCAAAGAGAAAUAUCAGUAUGUGACACACUGCAGAGGAUCCAGAGUGUUUUGGGUAUACCGUAAUGUAUGAUGAUGGCAUCAGUCAUUAGACUGUGGAAACAUAACAAUAAACAGGGUCAAGAACAGAUGAAACCCAUGGGAUCUCCCGGCGUUCGUUCCAAACUCAGAAGAUCCAGACUGUGCUGUGAUGACAUGGCAUUUUCACUCUCUGGACCUCACUAAGCCUUUGUUUUGAAUAAUAAAUAUCUUUAACGUAUUGAUGUCAUUGUCAAGCUGUGAUACAUUUAUCUAUAGAAAUAAUCUGAGCAUGUUAACAUUAUUGUCUGGCAAUUAAGCAAAAUUCCAGGUAGAUUAAUGUUUAAUUUAA